AAAAAAAAAAAAAAAGGAAAAAUCUGUCAGCCUAAAGAAGUUUGAAAAACUGGAUCCCAUUAAAGCUUCAAGCUUAAUGAUGAGGUAGAAGUGUCAUGAAUUAGUGUCUGAGGAAGGUGACAUCUUUGUCUAUUACUUCUGCUACCAGAACCUGAGGAGCAGGGUGUCAAUGAAGGAGAAGGUAGGGCAGAAGAAGUACAUAAUAACCUACUUGAAUGGCUUCUCAAUUUCUUCUUAUCUCCCUCUUGCCCGUUAGUUUGUGAUUUAACUUGACGAACUCUGGUUUCAUUCAAUUCCGCAGGCAGAACACAGUUGCAAAGAAAACCUAAACGAGC
This 335-nucleotide unclassified non-coding RNA is filed under the name Hevea brasiliensis (rubber tree). Lineage: Eukaryota; Viridiplantae; Streptophyta; Magnoliopsida; Malpighiales; Euphorbiaceae. The record is from RNAcentral.